Non-coding RNA from Bathycoccus prasinos, 83 nucleotides. The record is from the annotation of a RefSeq genome assembly. Lineage: Eukaryota; Viridiplantae; Chlorophyta; Mamiellophyceae; Mamiellales; Bathycoccaceae.
GCUGGGAUGCCCGAGUGGUCUAAGGGGCCAGACUCAAGUUCUGGUAGACAACGUCUGCGUGGGUUCGAACCCCACUUUCAGCA